This 689-nucleotide ribosomal RNA is filed under the name Pantoea sp. RNAcentral describes it as "bacterial SSU rRNA". It matches the Rfam family "Bacterial small subunit ribosomal RNA", at positions 54 to 732 of the family's 1533-position model. Lineage: Bacteria; Pseudomonadati; Pseudomonadota; Gammaproteobacteria; Enterobacterales; Erwiniaceae. The record is from RNAcentral.
CAUGCAAGUCGAACGGUAACAGGAAGCAGCUUGCUGCUUCGCUGACGAGUGGCGGACGGGUGAGUAAUGUCUGGGAAACUGCCUGAUGGAGGGGGAUAACUACUGGAAACGGUAGCUAAUACCGCAUAACGUCGCAAGACCAAAGAGGGGGACCUUCGGGCCUCUUGCCAUCGGAUGUGCCCAGAUGGGAUUAGCUAGUAGGUGGGGUAACGGCUCACCUAGGCGACGAUCCCUAGCUGGUCUGAGAGGAUGACCAGCCACACUGGAACUGAGACACGGUCCAGACUCCUACGGGAGGCAGCAGUGGGGAAUAUUGCACAAUGGGCGCAAGCCUGAUGCAGCCAUGCCGCGUGUAUGAAGAAGGCCUUCGGGUUGUAAAGUACUUUCAGCGGGGAGGAAGGCGAUAAGGUUAAUAACCUUGUCGAUUGACGUUACCCGCAGAAGAAGCACCGGCUAACUCCGUGCCAGCAGCCGCGGUAAUACGGAGGGUGCAAGCGUUAAUCGGAAUUACUGGGCGUAAAGCGCACGCAGGCGGUCUGUCAAGUCGGAUGUGAAAUCCCCGGGCUCAACCUGGGAACUGCAUUCGAAACUGGCAGGCUAGAGUCUUGUAGAGGGGGGUAGAAUUCCAGGUGUAGCGGUGAAAUGCGUAGAGAUCUGGAGGAAUACCGGUGGCGAAGGCGGCCCCCUGG